GACGAACGCUGGCGGCGUGCUUAACACAUGCAAGUCGAACGGAAAGGCCAUGCUUUUGUGGGGUGCUUGAGUGGCGAACGGGUGAGUAACACGUGAGUAAACUGCCCUUGACUUUGGGAUAACUUCAGGAAAAUGGGGCUAAUACCGGAUAGGAGCUCCUGCUGCAUGGUGGGGGUUGGAAAGUUUCGGCGGUUGGGGAUGGACUCGCGGCUUAUCAGCUUGUUGGUGGGGUAGUGGCUUACCAAGGCUUUGACGGGUAGCCGGCCUGGGAGGGUGACCGGCCACAAUGGGACUGAGAGACGGCCCAGACGCCUACGGGAGGCAGCAGUGGGGAACAUUGCACAAUGGGCGGAAGCCUGAUGCAGCAACGCCGCGUGCGGGAUGACGGCUUUCGGGUUGUAAACCGCUGUCGCCUGUGACGAAGCGUGAGUGACGGUAAUGGGUAAAGAAGCACCGGCUAACUACGUG
Molecule: ribosomal RNA, 468 nt
Filed under: uncultured bacterium
Lineage: Bacteria
Description: partial 16S ribosomal RNA
Rfam family: Bacterial small subunit ribosomal RNA
Source: RNAcentral